RNAcentral lists this ribosomal RNA (301 nucleotides) under uncultured bacterium. RNAcentral describes it as "partial 16S ribosomal RNA". It matches the Rfam family "Bacterial small subunit ribosomal RNA", at positions 509 to 807 of the family's 1533-position model. The record is from RNAcentral.
CAGUAGCCGCGGUAAUACGAAGGGUGCAAGCGUUACUCGGAAUUACUGGGCGUAAAGCGUGCGUAGGUGGUUGUUUAAGUCUGCUGUGAAAGCCCUGGGCUCAACCUGGGAAUUGCAGUGGAUACUGGGCAACUAGAGUAAGGUAGAGGAUAGUGGAAUUUCCGGUGUAGCAGUGAAAUGCGUAGAGAUCGGAAGGAACAUCUGUGGCGAAGGCGACUAUCUGGGCCAUUACUGACACUGAGGCACGAAAGCGUGGGGAGCAAACAGGAUUAGAUACCCGCGUAGUCCCUGUCUCUUAUAC